RNAcentral lists this long non-coding RNA (855 nucleotides) under Micromonas commoda. Its description in RNAcentral is "long non-coding RNA (MCOM_LNC000352)". The record is from RNAcentral. Lineage: Eukaryota; Viridiplantae; Chlorophyta; Mamiellophyceae; Mamiellales; Mamiellaceae.
CGCUAACGCGUAAAUCAAUUGUUCGAAAACGCGGAUUUACAUGUUCACCUGCGCCUUGCCCGCCGCGCGGAGCGCGUUGGCGCGGACGAUGGAGGCGAUGGUGUUGCCGAGGAGCUUGGCGUCGUCGAGAGGGUUGCCGGGCACCACAGUCUUGUAGAGGUAGGAGUCGAAGGUCAUCUUCUGGACGUACUCGUCGGCGCACAUCUCCACGAACGCCUCGCGGGCGGGGUUGGAGCGGUAGAACACCUUCUGGAGGAUGUCGAGAACCUUGUAGGUGGCCCAGUACUUGCGGUCCCACUUGUCGAGGUACACGCGAAGGUCGGACUCGUCAACCUCCUUGGUGCCGUUCUGGGAGCGCUCGACGACAGCCUCGGCAGCCAUGCGGCCGGACUUGGCGGCGAAGUAGAUGCCCUCGCCGGAGCACUUGGUGACGUAUCCCGCGGCGUCGCCGACGAGGGUCACGCGGCCCUGCACGCGGCGGGGGCGGGGGUGCUCGGGGAUGGGGUGCGCCUCGACGCGGAUAAUCUUACCACCCGCGCACUUCUCCUCGGCGCGCUUGCGCAUGGCCGCCUGGUACUGCUUGAUCGCCGUCUUGUUCACGACGGUACCGGUGCCGACGGCGACGUGAUCGUACUUGGGGAACACCCAGCCGUAGAAAUCGGGGGAGACGUCGUCGCCGACGUACAUCUCGGCGAGGUCCUUGUAGUAGUCCAUCUUCUCGUCGGGAAUCUUGAUGCGCUCCUGGAAGGCGAUGGCGUAGUCGUACUCGCCGGCGUCGAUGUUCUUGGCGACGCGGGAGUUGGCACCGUCGGCGCCGAUGACGACGUCCACCUCCAUCGUCUUGGGCUCGCCAAC